RNAcentral lists this long non-coding RNA (899 nucleotides) under Homo sapiens (human). RNAcentral's name for it is "HSALNT0339260". The record is from RNAcentral. Lineage: Eukaryota; Metazoa; Chordata; Mammalia; Primates; Hominidae.
UGCUUACAGCCCUACGGGCAGCAUGGGGGAGGUCACGAGAAACGUGGAUAAACCUAAGUUACGCCCUCUUGUAAAUUCCUAUAUUGAAACCUGGUCACAAGAUGAUAUGUGGUAAAGUUAACUCACAAACAACCCCAGGGUCUCUCUGCCCCAUAUAAACCCGUCAUUCUGUAAGCUCAGCGCUGCCUCCUCUGACUGUGGUGGAGCAGCUCAGCAGGAUAAUAAGCUUACUCGCCUGACCUUGGGUCUCUCUCUCAUCCUUUCUCUUGGCUAACCUUCAUUUUGGUGCCAAAACCCAGGAAGGGGAUAGGCUCUGGCUGGGCGUCCUUAGAGGAUUCUCUCUCUCUCUCUCCUAUCAUCCCUUACCCAGCCAACCUCCCCUUCCCGAACCUGCUAAAGACCCUAAGGAUCUCCCAAAAUUCUCCCAUUGUUGGCCACCUCAUCCACCAUCAAAGCCUCUGAGAGGGAUGGGCAGACAAGCAUGCUCCUCAGAGCCACCAUCCCUUCAACAAGACAAAAAGUGAAGAAUCACUUGCACUCCCAUAGCUCCUUGGCCUAGCCACUGAAGACUGAUGAGGCCAGGGCCCCUGGGCCCCGGCUCCCGGCCCCCACUGCCAUCACUGCAUCGGAGCCCAGGGUAACUCUACUAGUAGCAGUUUUUACAGGGCCGUGUUAGAGCCUUCACCCAUGGAACAGUACAAGACAUGAUGCUACUCCGAGAAUACCGACAGCUCCAGGAACAGCAGUCCCUACUACCCAGCCUCUCCCCCCAACCAUCGCCCCUAUCCAGCAAGAAGCAGCCAGAGGACAACGGCGCCCCUCUUCUAUUACCUAUUAAAAGGCUGGAAUGUUAGGAACAAGUUGCACCAGAACCCCUCCCCCUUCCCACCCGCCCCCGC